UACGGAGGGGGCUAGCGUUGUUCGGAAUUACUGGGCGUAAAGGGCACGUAGGCGGACCAGCAAGUUAGGGGUGAAAUCCCGGGGCUCAACCCCGGAACUGCCUUUAAAACUGUUGGUCUUGAGUUCGAGAGAGGUGAGUGGAAUACCGAGUGUAGAGGUGAAAUUCGUAGAUAUUCGGUGGAACACCAGUGGCGAAGGCGACUCACUGGCUCGAUACUGACGCUGAGGUGCGAAAGCGUGGGGAGCAAACAGG
This 253-nucleotide ribosomal RNA is filed under the name uncultured bacterium. RNAcentral describes it as "partial 16S ribosomal RNA". It matches the Rfam family "Bacterial small subunit ribosomal RNA", at positions 524 to 776 of the family's 1533-position model. The record is from RNAcentral.